Molecule: ribosomal RNA, 548 nt
Filed under: uncultured archaeon
Lineage: Archaea
Also listed under: 1 other name
Description: bacterial SSU rRNA
Rfam family: Archaeal small subunit ribosomal RNA
Source: RNAcentral
GCAGCAGGCGCGAAACCUUUACACUGCACGCCAGUGCGAUAAGGGGACUCCAAGUGCGAGGGCAUAUCGUCCUCGCUAUCCUGUACUGUAGGGUAGUACAGUAUCAAGAGCUGGGCAAGACCGGUGCCAGCCGCCGCGGUAAUACCGGCAGCUCGAGUGAUGGCCAAUCUUAUUGGGCCUAAAGCGUCCGUAGCUGGCCGCGCAAGUCCGUCGGGAAAUCCAUCAGCCCAACUGAUGGGCGUCCGGCGGAAACUGCACGGCUUGGGACCGGAAGGCUCGAGAGGUACGUCCGGGGUAGGAGUGAAAUCCCGUAAUCCCGAACGGACCACCGAUGGCGAAAGCAUCUCGAGAAAACGGAUCCGACAGUGAGGGACGAAAGCUAGGGUCUCGAACCGGAUUAGAUACCCGGGUAGUCCUAGCCGUAAACGAUGUUCGCUAGGUGUGGCACUGGCUACGAGCCAGUGCUGCGCCGUAGGGAAGCCGAGAAGCGAACCGCCUGGGAAGUACGUCUGCAAGGAUGAAACUUAAAGGAAUUGGCGGGGGAGCAC